Molecule: ribosomal RNA, 669 nt
Filed under: uncultured bacterium
Lineage: Bacteria
Description: bacterial SSU rRNA
Rfam family: Bacterial small subunit ribosomal RNA
Source: RNAcentral
AGAGUUUGAUCCUGGCUCAGAAUGAACGCUGGCGGCGUGCUUAACACAUGCAAGUCGCACGAGAACGCUUCAGCUUGCUGAAGCUAGUAAAGUGGCGCACGGGUGAGUAACGCGUGGGUAAUCUACCUCCAAAUUGGGGAUAACAUUGCGAAAGCGAUGCUAAUACCGAAUAAUAUCUCAAAUACCUCGGUUUUUGAGAUCAAAGGUGGCCUCUCCAUGGAAGCUACUGUUAGGAGAUGAGCCCGCGUACCAUUAGCUUGUUGGUAGGGUAAUGGCCUACCAAGGCAACGAUGAUUAGCUGGUCUGAGAGGAUGAUCAGCCACACUGGAACUGACACACGGUCCAGACUCCUACGGGAGGCAGCAGUGAGGAAUUUUGCACAAUGGGGGAAACCCUGACGCAGCAACGCCGCGUGAGUGAUGAAGGCCUUCGGGUCGUAAAGCUCUGUCAAGUGAGAAGAACCUGCCCUGUGCUAAUAUCACCGGGCACUGACGGUACCACUGAAGGAAGCACCGGCUAACUCCGUGCCAGCAGCCGCGGUAACACGGGGGGUGCAAGCGUUAUUCGGAAUCACUGGGCGUAAAGAGCGCGUAGGCGGUCUCUUAAGUCAGAUGUGAAAGCCCGGGGCUCAACCCCGGAAGUGCAUUUGAAACGAAGGGACUUGAGUAU